GGGUGGUGAUGGCUAUUUUAAAUAGGAUGAUGGGAGAAGGUCUAUCUGCAGAUGUGGCAUUUGAGCACAGACCUGAUUUUAGAGGAGCAAGAAGAAGAAUAGAUGGAGGAAUAUCAUUCCAGGCAGAAGUUACAGCAAAUAGAAAGACCCUGAGGCAGGAAUGAAUUUGGAUUGUCCAUGUUCAAGUGAUUACAGGAAGACUGGAGUAGAGUGAGCGAAGAGGAGAAUGUAAAGAGAUGAGGACAGAAAGAUGGGCAGAGACUUCUUCAGUCAUAGAUAUAGUUUGAAUGGAAACUCACACAUGAAAAAAACCUUGCGAUAAACUCAUGGACACACAAUACUCUUUCCAUGGACUACUAGAAAAAUGAAGUCCUCCACUGGGAGACAUGCCCUACAGCUCUACUCCUGCCAUUGCCUAAUGAACUCAUGAACAAAGUGGCCAUGGCGGCAGAGAUGGAGGUUAUGCGUGGGCUCAGCAACAUGGACUUACACUCACCCAGGCUGACCUCAGCCCCUGCUGAGUGCCCCAUCUGUCAGCACCAGAAACUACUGAGUCUCUGAUAGGCACCAUCCCCAGGGUCAUCAGCCAGCUGUCUGGUGUCAGGCUGAUUAUAUUGGACUGCUUUCAUCACGGAAGGGGCAGUGUUUUAUUCUUAAUGGAAUAGACACUUACUUUGGGUAUGGAUUUUUCUUCUCUGCACAAAAUGCUUCUAGCAAAACUAUCAUCCAGAGGCUUACAGGAUCCCUUAUCCACCAUCACGGUUUUGUACGCAGCCUUGCUUCUGACCAAGGAACUCACUUCAUUGCAAAUAAAGUGUGGCAAUGGGCCCAUGCCCGGAAUUCACCGGUCUAACCAUGUUCUUCAUCAUCCUGAAGCAACUGGUUUGCCAGAACGGUAGAAUGGCCUUUUGAAGAUGCAAUUAUAGCAUCAGCUAAGUGGGAAUUCAGCCGGCCUUCCAUAUCCAUUGGUUCAACAUUCAUGGAUUCAAUGAGCUGUGGAUACAAGAUAUUCAAAACAAAUUCCCAAAAGUUCCAAAAAGCAAAACUUGAAUUUUCCAUGCCAGAAACUAUUUACAUAACAUUUGGAUUGUAUUUACAACUAUUUUCAUAGUAUUUACAUUGUAGUAGGUAUUAUAAGUAAUUUAGAGAUGAUUUAAAAUAUACAAGAGGAUUUGUGUAGGUUACAUUCAAAUACUAUGCCAUUAUAUAUAAGGGACUUGAGCAUCUGUGGAUUUUGAUAUCUGCAGGGGUCAUGGAACCAAUCCUCUGCAGAUACCAAGGGACAAGUGUAACUUGCAGGACUAAGCAAAGCCCUCCAGGAGGCUGUAUGUGCUCUAAGUCAGCAUUCAAUAUAUGGUGCUGGUUCUCCCUUAGCCAAUAUUCAUAAACCCAGGAAUGGAAAUGGGAAUGGCUCCUCUCACUAUUACCUCUGGUGAUACACUAGCAAAGUGUUUGCUUUGCAUCCCUGUGACUUAAGGCUCUGUUGGUCUAGAGGCCCUAGUUCCAAAUAGAGGAAUGCUUUCACCAGGGAACCCAACAACGAUUCCUCAGAAUUGGAAGUUGAGACUGUUGCCUGGCCACUCUGGGUGCCUCCUGCCACUGAAUAAGCAGGCAGGCAACGGGGGUGGUUUACUCUGGCUGGGGUGAUUAGUCCUGAUCACCAAGGGGAAAUUGGGUUGCUACUACCACACAAUGUGGGUAAGGAGGAGAGUGUCUGGAAUACAGCAGAUCCUCUAAAGUACCUCUUGGUGCUCCCACAUCCUAUGAUUAAAGUUAGUGGAAAACUACAACAGCUUAAUUCAGACAGGGCUCUAAUAGCCCAGACCCUUUAGGAAUGAAGUUUUGGGUCACUCCAUCAGGUAAAGAACCAAAGGAAAUGAGGUGCUUGUUGAGGACAAAGGAAAUAGUUUUAACUAUCCACUAUGACCACAUGACCAUUGCAGAAAUGAGGACUAUAUGACUUAUGAGUAUUUCUUCCUUAUUUUAAUAUUUUUAUUCAAUAGUUUAAUUAUAUAUAUAAUGUAAUAAUACUUUCAUUUCUUUUCCUCUGACACCCCCUUAUCAUCUAACAUAAGACCUGUUAAUGAUUGUUAACUUUAUAUCAUAUUUGAGUUACAUGACACAAAACAGGAAGUAUGUAUCAACAGGGGGAAGAAUGAAAAUCAACCAAAGACACUAAAGAAACUCCGUCCUCUCCUGGGAAAAGGAGUAGCACGUUUUCAGUUUUAUGUAGCAUAGUCUUUAUUCGGCAAUUAAGUAUGGUUCAAGGAGAUGUACUUGAGUUCAAAGUCAACAAGAAUGGACUGUGGUAGCUUUGUAGUGUGUCAGUUAGGCUAAGUUCAACUACAUUUCCCAGAAUCCAUUCUCUUGUUUCUGGUCAGGUUGGGCCACAAGUGUAUUCCACACCAAUUGUAUCAAUUGUCUACCGUUGUAACUCAAUCCUUAAUAUACCUAUGGUUGGCAGAAAAAUGGUGACCCAAGGAUGUCCAUAUUCUAAUUCUUGGAAUCUGUAAUAUGUUAUAUUACAUAGCAAAGGAGAAUUAAGGCUGCAGAUAGAAUUAAGUUGCUAAUCAGGUGACCUGAAAAUAGGGAGAUUAUCCUAGAUUAUCAGGGUGGGUUUGAUGUUAUCACAAGGGUUCUUUAAAGUGAAAGUCGGAGGCAGAAGAUGAAUCACUGUCAGGGUGAUUUGAUAUGAGAAAAACUUGACCAGACAUUGCUGGCUUUGAAGGUAGAGGGGACCACGAGUCAAGGAAUGUGGGUGACCUCUAGAAACUGGAAAAGGCUAGAAUAUGGAUUAUCCUCUAGAGCCUCCAGGAGGGAACUCAGCCCUGCUGACACCCUGAUUUUAGCCCAGUGAGACCCAUGUUGGAUUUCUGAACUGCAGACCCAUGAGAAAAUAAUAGUGCUGUUUCAAGCCACUAAAUUUGUGGAACUUUGUUACAGCAGCAAUAGGAACCUAAUACAGUAUACUUUAUUGAUAGUCCUCCAUUCCGUGCCUCACUAUUCAGAUAAACUAACUGUACCCACAUCCUUGUCUCAGGUCUGCUUUCAGGAAAUCUAAACUAAGAUACUCCCCCUCCUCAACGAAUUCUACUAAAAUGACCAAGGAUAUGUAAAAAUAGGAUGUAAUCUGUAUAAUGAUUGGGAAAUAGGAUAGAUAUUAUUAGUAACAGGCCAAAAAGGCAUUGUGCAAAUUGGCUCAGAUUGAGGGAAGUAUAAAUACCAUAAAUACCACACAUUCCAACAAAAUUGACUAGCAAGUAAAAGAAGUAAGCAAUUACUAUUACUGUUACUCCACAGAACCAGGAAAAUCUCCUCCUCUGAGAAGGAGAGGAUAUAAAAAAGGGGCUUCCAGGAUAAAGUAGGUGUGAUGAAAGUCAAAGUACACAAGGAUUCGUUCGAAAAUUCUUCAGAAAGAUCAGCGAAAUGUAGCAUUCAUUCUCAGCUUUCUCUUGGUGCAAACAAAAGAAAGUAAAAAUGCUAUUAUAUGUAUUUUUUAUGUAUUCUUAUAUGGAUGAAUCUCUCAGAAGGAGAAGGUUGGGCUCCUACAACCUACCCACAAAAAUUAAAACAAAAUAA
Long non-coding RNA from Aethalodelphis obliquidens (Pacific white-sided dolphin), 3579 nucleotides. RefSeq lists it as uncharacterized. NCBI's taxonomy places the organism in Eukaryota, Metazoa, Chordata, Mammalia, Artiodactyla, Delphinidae. The transcript has 3 exons. The record is from RefSeq and is a predicted model, not a curated record.